GUACGCUGGCGGCACGCCUAACACAUGCAAGUCGAACGAAGUAGCAAUACUUAGUGGCAGACGGGUGAGUAACAUGUAGGUAUCUGCCCUUUGGCCUGGAAUAACACGAGGAAACUUGUGCUAAUACCGGAUAAGUCUUUACGGAGAAAGCUUUAUGCACCAUUGGAUGAGCCUGCACUUGAUUAGUUUGUUGGUGGGGUAAUGGCCUACCAAGACUGUGAUCAAUAGCUGAUUUGAGAGGAUGAUCAGCCACAUUGGGACUGAGACACGGCCCAAACUCCUACGGGAGGCAGCAGUGGGGAAUCUUGCACAAUGGAGGAAACUCUGAUGCAGCGAUGCCGCGUGAGGAAGAAGGCCCUUGGGUUGUAAAGCUCUUUCGUCGGGGAAGAAAAUGACUGUACCCGAAUAAGAAGGUC
This 416-nucleotide ribosomal RNA is filed under the name uncultured bacterium. Its description in RNAcentral is "bacterial SSU rRNA". It matches the Rfam family "Bacterial small subunit ribosomal RNA", at positions 31 to 493 of the family's 1533-position model. The record is from RNAcentral.